UGUUGUUGUGACAGGCGCAUCAUUGCUACGUCUGUCAAAAUGUGUCGUCACGUAAACGUCAUCACUUUUUACGUUUUGCUUUCGUGUACAGCCAAUGUUGGUAUAAAAUGGGUUUUCAAGGCACAUGUAUUUCUAUGUUACCGGACGGUCACGCGGAUCUAGUAAAGAUUUUACGGGAAGAGGGUACAAAGGUGAUAUUCGUGUAAGAUCGUUGUAUGGAAACUUCGGUAGGACAGUGAAGUCUGCUCGCCGUAAAUAAUGAAUUGAGCUCGUGCCCGCUUCUGCGCGCUCCUCAUUCAUCUCGGUGCGCGCGAGAGGAGACAGCAGUAGCAGCAGACGGCCCACGCUGAGUGUGUGUCUUGCUGACACAACAACAUUAGCUUGCACUCGAAUCAGACACAUUUAAGAUACAGCUGGAUUAUCAGACAUUUGUUGUUUUGGAAGUCCCGAGACAUCAGCGUCUGUCUUCUGUGAGCAGGUGCUGGAGAGGACCGGAAGUAACUGUUGACAGUUUUGGUGCAGUGAGGCGCAGCGGAGGGGGCAGAGAGGCGAGCGCAUGAGGAGAGGGCGUCCAAAGAC
This is a long non-coding RNA of Triplophysa dalaica, 579 nucleotides long. RefSeq lists it as uncharacterized. The transcript has 3 exons. Lineage: Eukaryota; Metazoa; Chordata; Actinopteri; Cypriniformes; Nemacheilidae. The record is from RefSeq and is a predicted model, not a curated record.